RNAcentral lists this ribosomal RNA (234 nucleotides) under uncultured bacterium. RNAcentral describes it as "partial 16S ribosomal RNA". It matches the Rfam family "Bacterial small subunit ribosomal RNA", at positions 333 to 563 of the family's 1533-position model. The record is from RNAcentral.
UUAGCCCUACGGGAGGCAGCAGUGAGGAAUAUUGGUCAAUGGCCGCAGGGCUGAACCAGCCAAGUCGCGUGAGGGAUGACGGUCCUACGGGUUGUAAACUUCUUUUGUCAGGGAGCAAUUGAGUCCACGUGUGGUCUUAGCGAGAGUACCUGAAGAAAAAGCAUCGGCUAACUCCGUGCCAGCAGCCGCGGUAAUACGGAGGAUGCGAGCGUUAUCCGGAUUUAUUGGGUUUAA